Long non-coding RNA from Pan troglodytes (chimpanzee), 1771 nucleotides. RefSeq lists it as uncharacterized. The record is from RefSeq and is a predicted model, not a curated record. The transcript has 3 exons. NCBI's taxonomy places the organism in Eukaryota, Metazoa, Chordata, Mammalia, Primates, Hominidae.
GUUGAGAAAGCUGGAGGGCAGGGAAAUGGGCCGAGUCCUGCAUCAUCCACCGAGUGGGGGCUGUGGAUAGGUGCGGCGCUGCUUCCCUGGGGAGAAACGCUCCAUCUUGCGGGCCGAAGCGCGAGUGCUGCUCUGUGACAGCCUCCGGCCGCGGCCUUCCCAGCUGCUACCGCCGCUUUUCGGAUGGGCUGUGAUAGAUGGAGUAGCAGCGAAGACUGCUAGAAGAGCGUUUUCAGUCGGCCUUUAGUGAUUCGUAAAACCAAAUUAGCUGGUUUCUACUUGGAAGGGGUACAGAAGAUCAAACUCUCCCAAAAAGUAGAGAUUAAACAACAACUAAAGAUGGCGAAUCAUAGAAGUUACCACCAUUCCUGGUAUUGGUCCCAGUUCUUCUAAGAAUAUUUUUGAUGCAAGAGCCGUUUUAUCUUGAAUCCUACAUAGCUUAUUUUCCAUUUUUCCAUUCAAAUAAAACAAGAGAACAAUAGAGUGAAGAAAAAGGAUGUUUAAGUCUAAAUCCAAGACUGAGGUACAAGACCAAGAAAAGUGGGGCAGAAGAUGGAAAAGAACAAGCGAAGAAUCUUGGAAACAAUUCAAAGGCACGUUGGAUUCUUUGCUUGUAAUAAGAAGUGCAAGUUGGUGUUACUUCUUAAGGUCUAAUGUUAAAAUUUCUUGAAUCUGAUCUUUAUCAUAUGCAUAUUUUUUCAUCCUUGGAUAGUUAGACUUUUUUUAAUAUGUCAAGAACUCAUCUAUAUUUUUAUCUAUAUUUAUUCUACAUAAAUCGAUAAAUCAAGAUGUAAUAUAAAAAAAGUUGAUAGAAAACUUUAGUUUUAGAAACUUUAUUUUUAAAAACAGCUCAAAAUUGCCUUCAUCAUAUUACUGAUUUAAAUAUUACGAAAAAUAUUAAACAUUCACAAAAGUAUUACAAAAAGACUAGCAUAAUGAACCCUCAUACGUGUACCACCCAGAUUUGAAAAUUAUUGGAAUUUUGUCAUAUAGGCUUUAGCUACCCUUAUUUUCUUUCUUUUUGUUGCUAAAGUAUUUUAAAGCCCCUCCAGGACCUCAUGGGACUUUAUCCUACAUACUUGUAAUUCUACUGAUUUUUAAUUAAAUUAUUGAUUAAGUAGUUAACAGAAAACAGGAUAUUACAGGAAGCAUCUAGUGGGGUGCAGAGUCUAGCAAUUAAUCUUUUCUCAUUUAAUCAAAGACAGCAGCAGGGCUCUAGUAAAAUCAAUUAUGUUUAGAAAUGGAAAUUUUUAAAAAUUCAAAAACAAGGAAGCAUUUUAAGUAUUCUUACAGCCUUUACUUCUGUUUUCCUUCCUCUUGACAUAUUCCCCAUUAACAACUGGCUACUUCUUAUCUCUUUUGCCCCUCAGUGUAACAAGGAUUUAUGUAAAUCAUACAUCUUAACUCAGCAAGAAAUUGGCAGGGUCCUAAGACAUAGUUCCAAGUAAAUUUUAUUUUUAUAGUAAAAUCCUGGCCCUUCUGUCUGGGAGACCUUUCUAGUCCUUUACAUGUCAGCACUACCACUUAUGCUAAUAUUAUAAUUGUGUAUUUAUCAGUAUUUUAACAUAAUUUUUCUUAGUUUUACCUGAAAAAGGAGACUAAGAAAUAAAAUGCCUAAUGCUGAUGAAGGUAUAUAUUAUGGAUAUUUUAAUGUAUUUCUGGUGGGAGUAUAUAUAUUUGAACCAAAACCAGUUUGACAAUAAUACUUGAGUACCAAGUUUCAAUAUUUGGUAUCUUAAAUUUUGUUAACUUGUUUAUAAUUAAACAGGAU